Molecule: ribosomal RNA, 253 nt
Filed under: uncultured bacterium
Lineage: Bacteria
Description: partial 16S ribosomal RNA
Rfam family: Bacterial small subunit ribosomal RNA
Source: RNAcentral
UACGUAGGUGGCAAGCGUUGUCCGGAAUUAUUGGGCGUAAAGCGCGCGCAGGCGGUUCCUUAAGUCUGAUGUGAAAGCCCCCGGCUCAACCGGGGAGGGGCAUUGGAAACUGGGGGACUUGAGUGCAGAAGAGGAGAGCGGAAUUCCACGUGUAGCGGUGAAAUGCGUAGAGAUGUGGAGGAACACCAGUGGCGAAGGCGGCUCUCUGGUCUGUAACUGACGCUGAGGCGCGAAAGCGUGGGGAGCAAACAGG